GAAGGGUGCAAGCGUUACUCGGAAUUACUGGGCGUAAAGGGUGCGUAGGUGGUUGUCUAAGUCUGUUGUGAAAGCCCCGGGCUCAACCUGGGAAUGGCAAUGGAUACUGGACAGCUAGAGUGCGGUAGAGGGUAGUGGAAUUCCCGGUGUAGCAGUGAAAUGCGUAGAGAUCGGGAGGAACACCAGUGGCGAAGGCGGCUACCUGGACCAGCACUGACACUGAAGCACGAAAGCGUGGGGAGCAAACAGGAUUAGAUACCCUGGUAGUCCACGCCCUAAACGAUGCGAACUGGACGUUGGGAGCAACUUGGCUCUCAGUGUCGAAGCUAACGCGUUAAGUUCGCCGCCUGGGGAGUACGGUCGCAAGACUG
This 371-nucleotide ribosomal RNA is filed under the name uncultured bacterium. Its description in RNAcentral is "bacterial SSU rRNA". It matches the Rfam family "Bacterial small subunit ribosomal RNA", at positions 527 to 896 of the family's 1533-position model. The record is from RNAcentral.